Long non-coding RNA from Tympanuchus pallidicinctus (lesser prairie-chicken), 976 nucleotides. RefSeq lists it as uncharacterized. The transcript has 3 exons. NCBI's taxonomy places the organism in Eukaryota, Metazoa, Chordata, Aves, Galliformes, Phasianidae. The record is from RefSeq and is a predicted model, not a curated record.
GGUUUGGAGGACAACAGGCUUUGCUUGGCAUCCAGAGCCCCUAAAGAGCUGAAUUGCAGAAGAGCCAUGGGUCUUCUCCCUUUGCAACAUCCCCAUCCAUCAUCUGUUAGGAAUAUGGAUCGUGAUCAUGGGACUGGACUGUUGGAGGCAGAGGUUUGUGCCUUCUGUCACUAAGCCAUUGGAUGUCUCCAGAAGUGGAUUCCUUGAAUCUGAGAUCACUAAAAAUUAACUUCCCUUCUACUCAUCCAUAAAAAUUCUCAGUGAUCUGCUAAUAUCUAUAAUGGCUUGUUUGAAGUUUGUCACUUUAUUGAUUUAGCAAGAUAAUGGCUCUGCUGGCUGAUUGUCACACCUGGCCAAACCCCAGGUGAAGGACGGGAGCUUCAGAGCAGCCCAUGACAACAUAGAGCAGUGAUGACUGCAGGGGGCUGGGAUCUGUGCAUGGAGUUUGUAACACCUGUGGCUCUCAGUCCCACACAGGUGAGCUGAGUUUUGUGGUUCAGUUCCCCACUCACACAGCGCAGAUUCAAUUUUUGAGGACCCUGCAACUUUACUCAUCUUAGGGGGACAAAUUAUUGGAUGUCUGCUGAAGCUGGAAAGCUUUAUUUAGAGAAGGAAUUGCAUUUUGGUGCUUGUCUAGAGGAGAGGAAUGCUCUUUGGUGUUGGAUGAGCUAUAUGACACUGCUUAGAGUCACAUCAGCAUUCAGUAGGACACACUGCUGGAACGAGAGCAAGCUUAUGAUGCUGAGGGAUCUCCUGGGUUCAACUGGAGCAGAAAUACCUCGUGGUUUCUCUACAUCUGGGGGGAAUUAAUAAGUCCUGAAACACAUGAAGAUUAAUAAUAAGAAUAAAAAGCUUUCCUUCCACCCCCCAUCACCUCCUCCCACUGACACGAUUUAAAGAUUUAAAAUCAGUCUGUACCGCAGCCAGAGAUUGGAGUUACGAUUGUAAUGUUUCCAUUUAGAACAAGGAAAUUGAA